This 386-nucleotide ribosomal RNA is filed under the name uncultured bacterium. RNAcentral describes it as "bacterial SSU rRNA". It matches the Rfam family "Bacterial small subunit ribosomal RNA", at positions 30 to 417 of the family's 1533-position model. The record is from RNAcentral.
UGAACGCUAGCGGCAGGCUUAACACAUGCAAGUCGAGGGGUAUGCCGAUUUAUCGGCAGAGACCGGCGCACGGGUGCGUAACGCGUAUGCAAUCUACCUUUCACAGAGGGAUAGCCCAGAGAAAUUUGGAUUAAUACCCCAUAGUAUUAUGAAAUGGCAUCAUUUUAUAAUUAAAGUCACAACGGUGAAAGAUGAGCAUGCGUCCCAUUAGCUAGUUGGUAAGGUAACGGCUUACCAAGGCAACGAUGGGUAGGGGUCCUGAGAGGGAGAUCCCCCCACACUGGUACUGAGACACGGACCAGACUCCUACGGGAGGCAGCAGUGAGGAAUAUUGGACAAUGGGCGCAAGCCUGAUCCAGCCAAUGCCGCGUGCAGGAUGACGGUCC